GGGCGGCAGCUGCACAGAGCGAGGGGGAGCGGCGCGGCCGCCAGCAGUGCGGCCUCCGGGCGCCGCCGCCCACCCCGGGGAGCCUCGGGGACCUCGCCCUGGGAAGCUAUCUUGGGUGACCCCGACCUCCCAGCACGCGGGACGGCCCCGCGACCGGACUCACCCAGAGGCCGCAGGACUGGCUCAGUGAUUAAGAGCAUUGGCUGCUUUUCUAAGAGGACCCGGGUUCAAUUCCCAGCACCCAUAUGGCGGUUCACAACUCUCUGAAACUCCAGUUCCGGAGGAUCUGACACCUGCACAUUUACGUAGGCAAAACACCAACACAAUUGGUGAAACCAAGCACAUCAAAGCUUUUCUGGAUGCCAUCGAAGGUGUUGCCGAAAGGCGGCCUAUGGUUGAGAUAAACUUUGAGGAAAUCCGAAUUUUGCGGCUUAGAUACAGGUGUCUGGUUGGAGGAGGAGAGGAGGCGUGACGGCUUCCCCCUAAUGUGCGAAGGAGAACUGCUGGAUUCUGGCAGCCCCAGCUCUUGGGAAACAGCAUUACUGGUUCCGAGGAAGUGUAACUGAAGCUGUGUACACGCUGUGUGUGAGGACAGGGUUUCAUAAUUAGAAUCUUCACAGUUAACGUUUACAUUUGACACAACGUUAGAUUACACGUGAAUUGUGUGAAUAUUAAAAACUGUUAGAUUAACUGAUGUGCUAUGUUAGUAUGUUAGUAUAUUAACUAACAUGUUACGUAUGUAAUUUUAAUACUCCGAGGCAUGCUAUGUAUGUGCACUAUGUAUGUGCUUGGUGUCUGAGGGGACCAGAAAGGGGUGUUAGAUCCCCUAGAACUAUAGUUACUAAUGGUUGUGACCCGCCAUGUGGGUGCUGGGAGCUGAGCCUGAGUCUUUUUUACUGUAAGCUCCUAACCUCUGAGCCAUGUCCCCAGACCAGUUUUAAAAACUGUAGUCAUACUGGGGCAGGAGAGAUGACUCAUGGCUGAGAGCACUGGGGCUGGAGAGAGGACUCAUGGCUGAGAGCACUGGGGCUGGAGAGAGGACUCAUGGCUGAGAGCACUGGGGCUGGAGAGAGGACUCAUGGCUGAGAGCACUGGGGCUGGAGAGAGGACUCAUGGCUGAGAGCACUGGGGCUGGAGAGAGGACUCAUGGCUGAGAGCACUGGGGCUGGAGAGAGGACUCAUGGCUGAGAGCACUGGGGCUGGAGAGAGGACUCAUGGCUGAGAGCACUGGGGCUGGAGAGAGGACUCAUGGCUGAGAGCACUGGGGCUGGAGAGAGGACUCAUGGCUGAGAGCACUGGGGCUGGAGAGAGGACUCAUGGCUGAGAGCACUGGGGCUGGAGAGAGGACUCAUGGCUGAGAGCACUGGUUUCUUUUGCAGAGGAUGCAGGUUUGAUUCCAACCACCCACAUGGCGGCUCGCAGCUGUAAUUCCAGCUCCAGGGGAUCUGAUACCCUUUUCCCGGCCUCCGUGGAUACCAGACACACAGGACGCCUACAAACACACAUGCGUGUAAGACACACAUACAUACACACACUUUAAAAAUGUCAACAUGUGGGGUUGGGGAUUUAGCUCAGUGGUAGAGCGCUUGCCUAGCAAGUGCAGGGCCCUGGGUUCAGUCCCCAGCUCCAGAAAAAAAAAAAAAAAAUGUCGGGCUGGAGAGAUGGCUCAGUGGCUAAGAGCACGGACUGCUCUUCCAGAGGUCCUGAGUUCAAAUUCCAGCAACCACAUGGUGGCUCACAACCAUCUAUGAUGAUGUCUGAUGCCCUCUUCUGGUGUCUGAAGACAGCUACAACAUACUUACAUAUAAUAAAUAAAUAAAUCUUUAAAAAAAAUGUCAACAUGUAAAAAUUUGGUAAGUUUAAUGGUUAAGACGCGCACACACCACGCCUUACUUAGUAACGAGUAAAGUGGCCAUUUCGGAUGACAGACAGAUCUUCAAAUUCUCUGUGUAGCCCUGGAUAUACUGGAACUCGCUCUGCUGGCCCCAAAACUCAAGAGAUCCGCCUGCCUCUGCCUUCCGUGCUGGGGUUAGAGGUAUGCACCAACACCCAUCCAGCCUGUCUUCAAGUUCUAACGCCGCCAUUUUCUGUGCAUGGGACCUCUGGUGCACUGUUUAACAUACCGUAUGUUGAACUUUCUUGAGAGAGGGACACGCAGGGUAAACGCAUGCGCACUGGAGCCGUUUUUGCUCUGCUUAGUCUGGCUUUGAUUUUCGUGAAUUGUUUGAGACAGAGCUCGUGUAGCGCGUGCUGGCCUCAAGCUUGCGAUGGCGCAGAGGAUGUCCUAGAACUUCUGAUCUCACUGACAUGUGCUGCUAUGCCUGGUUCAUGUGGUGCUGGGGAUCGAACCCAUGGCCUUCCUGCAUGCUAGGUGAGCACUCUCAGCUCCAUCCUCAGCCUGCACUAGGCUGUUCUGACUCACACGAGUAGUAGUGCCUGCCCAGGGUAGGGAUGGGACCGACGGUAAUUAGGCUGAGAUUAUUUUUUCCCUCUGUGCUUUCUAAUUACAAUUCGUGUAAUUACAAAAUAAAUUAUAAUUCUAUGCUAAUGAUAUAUGAUCAACUUUAUAAGUGUAUAAAUUAUAAUACAUAUACACUACUGACGGAAUGUA
Rattus norvegicus (Norway rat) is the source of this 2611-nucleotide non-coding RNA. NCBI's taxonomy places the organism in Eukaryota, Metazoa, Chordata, Mammalia, Rodentia, Muridae. The record is from RefSeq and is a predicted model, not a curated record.